RNAcentral lists this ribosomal RNA (494 nucleotides) under uncultured bacterium. Its description in RNAcentral is "partial 16S ribosomal RNA". It matches the Rfam family "Bacterial small subunit ribosomal RNA", at positions 28 to 507 of the family's 1533-position model. The record is from RNAcentral.
GACGAACGCUGGCGGCGUGCUUAACACAUGCCAGUCGAACGGACAGGCCUGCUUUCCCUUGUGGAUUGCGGGUACUCGGAUGGCGAACGGGUGAGUAACACGUCAGUGAUCUGGACCCAACUUGGGUAUAAGCCUGGGAAACUGGGUCUAAUUCCCGAUAGGACUGCAGGGUGGUGCCUUUGGUGGAGAACGAUUUUCUAGUGGUUGGGGGUGCGCUCGCGGCCUAUCAGCUUGUUGGUGGGGGAAUGGACUACCAAGGCGGCGACGAGUAGCCGGCCGGAGAGGGUGGACGGGCACAUUGAGACUGGGACACGACCCAGACUCGUACGGGAGGCAGCAGUGGGGAAUAGUGGGGAAUGGGCGGAAGGCUGAAGCGGCGAGGGAGCGUGGGGGAUGACGGGCUUCGGGUUGUAAGCUCCUUUCGAACGCGAAGAAGCCACCUGGCUGGGAGGGUGGUGACGGUAGUGAUAGAAGAAGCACCGGCUAACUACGUG